GCCAUUUGCAGCAACAUGGAUGGACCUGGAGAUUAUCAUAUGAAGUGAGUGGAAUAUUAUACAGCAAUGAGAGUGAAUGUGCUAUAGCAACCUGCAAUUAUAUGGAUGAAUCUCACAAAGUUGAGUGGAAGAAACCAGGUA
Molecule: long non-coding RNA, 141 nt
Organism: Aethalodelphis obliquidens (Pacific white-sided dolphin)
Lineage: Eukaryota; Metazoa; Chordata; Mammalia; Artiodactyla; Delphinidae
Exons: 2
Source: RefSeq, a predicted model, not a curated record